AGUGAACGCUGGCGGUAGGCCUAACACAUGCAAGUCGAACGGCAGCACAGUAAGAGCUUGCUCUUACGGGUGGCGAGUGGCGGACGGGUGAGGAAUACAUCGGAAUCUACUUUUUCGUGGGGGAUCACGUAGGGAAACUUACGCUAAUACCGCAUACGACCUACGGGUGAAAGCAGUGGAUCUUCGGACCUUGCGCGAUUGAAUGAGCCGAUGUCGGAUUAGCUAGUUGGCGGGGUAAAGGCCCACCAAGGCGACGAUCCGUAGCUGGUCUGAGAGGAUGAUCGGCCACACUGGAACUGAGACACGGUCCAGACUCCUACGGGAGGCAGCAGUGGGGAAUAUUGGACAAUGGGCGCAAGCCUGAUCCAGCCAUACCGCGUGGGUGAAGAAGGCCUUCGGGUUGUAAAGCCCUUUUGUUGGGAAAGAAAAGCAGCAGGUUAAUACCCCGCUGUUCUGACGGUACCCAAAGAAUAAGCACCGGCUAACUUCGUG
This 492-nucleotide ribosomal RNA is filed under the name uncultured bacterium. Its description in RNAcentral is "partial 16S ribosomal RNA". It matches the Rfam family "Bacterial small subunit ribosomal RNA", at positions 29 to 507 of the family's 1533-position model. The record is from RNAcentral.